UUUUCGGACAACGGAAGGUGAGGACAGUGGCGGACGGGUGAGUAACGCGUGAGGAACCUGCCUUUCAGAGGGGGACAACAGUUGGAAACGACUGCUAAUACCGCAUGACAUAGCGGAAUCGCAUGGUUCUGUUAUCAAAGAUUUAUCGCUGAAAGAUGGCCUCGCGUCUGAUUAGCUAGUUGGUGAGGUAACGGCCCACCAAGGCGACGAUCAGUAGCCGGACUGAGAGGUUGAACGGCCACAUUGGGACUGAGAUACGGCCCAGACUCC
This 270-nucleotide ribosomal RNA is filed under the name uncultured Oscillibacter sp. RNAcentral's name for it is "partial 16S ribosomal RNA". It matches the Rfam family "Bacterial small subunit ribosomal RNA", at positions 72 to 339 of the family's 1533-position model. Lineage: Bacteria; Bacillati; Bacillota; Clostridia; Eubacteriales; Oscillospiraceae. The record is from RNAcentral.